Molecule: ribosomal RNA, 478 nt
Filed under: uncultured bacterium
Lineage: Bacteria
Description: partial 16S ribosomal RNA
Rfam family: Bacterial small subunit ribosomal RNA
Source: RNAcentral
GAUGAACGCUGGCGGCGUGCUUAACACAUGCAAGUCGAACGAGAAGUGGAGACGCAAACCUUCGGGCGGAAGGCUGCAUUUGGAGUGGCGGACGGUGGAGUAACGCGUGGGUAGCCUGCCUCAUACAGGGGGAUCACAGUUGGAAACGACUGUAUAUACCGCAUCAGACCACAGCAUCGCAUGGUGCGGGGGUAAAGCCUCCGGUGGUAUGAUCUGGACCCGCGUUCCAUUAGCCAGAUGGCGGGGUAACGGCCCCCCACAGCGACGAUCGGAAGCCGAUCAGUGAGGCUGGCCGGACACAUUUGGACUGGGACGCAGCCCAGACUCCUACGGGAUGCGGCAGGGGGUAAUAUUGCACCACGGGGGGAACCCUGAUGCAGCGACGCCGCGUGAGUGAAGAAGUAUUUCGGUAUGUAAAGCUUUAUCAGCAGGGAAGAAAAUGACGGUACCUGAGUAAGAAGCCCCGGCUAACUACGUG